CCUGGGCCGAAGGCAGACGCUUAACGACUGAGCCACCCAGGCGCCCCUCUCCAGAAGCUUCUUAAGAAAAGGCGCAUUGGAGCUCCCUCCCCUGCUUGAGACCUGUGGGGCUUGACAUCUGGGAGCACUCUGAUGAAGAAAUGGAGCUUUUUGAGAGACUGAGUAAUUUGCCUAAAGUCA
This is a long non-coding RNA of Neomonachus schauinslandi (Hawaiian monk seal), 180 nucleotides long. RefSeq lists it as uncharacterized. The transcript is spliced from 3 exons. The record is from RefSeq and is a predicted model, not a curated record. NCBI's taxonomy places the organism in Eukaryota, Metazoa, Chordata, Mammalia, Carnivora, Phocidae.